RNAcentral lists this long non-coding RNA (259 nucleotides) under Solanum tuberosum (potato). RNAcentral's name for it is "long non-coding RNA (STUB_LNC009930)". The record is from RNAcentral. Lineage: Eukaryota; Viridiplantae; Streptophyta; Magnoliopsida; Solanales; Solanaceae.
AAUAGUGAAUGGGAAAUGAAAAGAGAAAAUGGAAAGUGGAAGAACCAAUGAAAAUGGGGGAACCAAUUUUGGAGGGAAAAUGAAAAGUCAUUGCAAAACUGCAAAUGAAUAGUCAUUUUUUACCAUAUCGGUAGAAGAGAGGAAAUUGUUGUCCUUAUAUUAGGAAACACUUCCUUUACUUCUUAAAGGGUUAAGAAGAAGGUGCCCCCUCGCGCCGUCGUCGUCGCUCGCUCGACCUCGGCCUCGGCUUCGGCUUCGG